GAUGAAGAACGUAGUGAAAUGCGACAAGUAAUGUGAAUUGCAGAAUUCAGUGAAUCAUCGAAUCUUUGAACGCACAUUGCGCCCGCCAGUAUUCUGGCGGGCAUGUCUGUUCGAGCGUCAUUUCAACCAUCAAGCCCCGGGCUUGUGUUGGGGACCUGCGGCUGCCGCAGGCCCUGAAAUGCAGUGGCGGGCUCGCUGUCACUCCGAGCGUAGUAGUUACAUCUCGCUCUGGGCGUGCUGCGGGUUCCGGCCGUUAAAAGCCUUAUUUACCCAAGGUUGACCUCGGAUCAGGUAGGAAGACCCGCUGAACUUAAGCAUAUCAAUAAGCGGAGGA
Molecule: unclassified non-coding RNA, 334 nt
Filed under: soil metagenome
Description: partial contains 5.8S ribosomal RNA, internal transcribed spacer 2, and large subunit ribosomal RNA
Rfam family: 5.8S ribosomal RNA (bases 1-120)
Source: RNAcentral